Molecule: small nucleolar RNA, 74 nt
Filed under: Caenorhabditis elegans
Lineage: Eukaryota; Metazoa; Nematoda; Chromadorea; Rhabditida; Rhabditidae
Description: MeCeLSU-G860 small nucleolar RNA
Rfam family: Caenorhabditis snoRNA ceN70
Source: RNAcentral
AUGUGCGCGAUGAACUCUUUACCAUCUUUCGGGGCAUAACACUCUUGAUGAUAACAUACCCAUUUGCUGAGCGC